UACGUAGGGCGCAAGCGUUGUCCGGAAUUAUUGGGCGUAAAGAGCUCGUAGGCGGCCUGUUACGUCUGCUGUGAAAUCCCGGGGCUUAACCCCGGGCGUGCAGUGGAUACGGGCAGGCUGGAGGCAGGCAGGGGAGAACGGAAUUCCCGGUGUAGCGGUGAAAUGCGCAGAUAUCAGGAGGAACACCGGUGGCGAAGGCGGGUCUCUGGACCGAUACUGACGCUGAGGAGCGAAAGCGUGGGGAGCGAACAGG
RNAcentral lists this ribosomal RNA (253 nucleotides) under uncultured bacterium. Its description in RNAcentral is "partial 16S ribosomal RNA". It matches the Rfam family "Bacterial small subunit ribosomal RNA", at positions 524 to 776 of the family's 1533-position model. The record is from RNAcentral.